Long non-coding RNA from Amblyraja radiata (thorny skate), 387 nucleotides. RefSeq lists it as uncharacterized. The transcript is spliced from 3 exons. The record is from RefSeq and is a predicted model, not a curated record. NCBI's taxonomy places the organism in Eukaryota, Metazoa, Chordata, Chondrichthyes, Rajiformes, Rajidae.
ACCGUGCUUGGAGCUUUGCUGCCCAGUCUCUGGACUCGUUCACCAUCAGUCUCUUCCCACAAGAGAAUGUACAAAAUGAGGCCGAGGUUUCUCUGCAACAGUUUGCCAGCUGGUUUGAUGUUGGGUUUCUUGGUUUUCCUGCUUCGACCAGUUUCCACACAGAAAAACAGAAAUCGAAUGUAUUUCUUGGAUAAUGGAGAUGACAUUGUGUUAAACGGACCGGACAAUGCUGAGAAAGACGCUGUUGUUGUCUGGGAAUGGAAACCACACUCAGGGAAGGAAAUCGGAAAAUUGUCGACUUUUAGAAGAAUGAGGAACUCUUGGAUCAAAGAUAACGCCGCUGGCAAAUUGUACCCGGAGAUGAAAGUGAAUUCCUAUACCCUUGAU